UGGGGAAUAUUGCACAAUGGGCGCAAGCCUGAUGCAGCCAUGCCGCGUGUAUGAAGAAGGCCUUCGGGUUGUAAAGUACUUUCAGCGGGGAGGAAGGGAGUAAAGUUAAUACCUUUGCUCAUUGACGUUACCCGCAGAAGAAGCACCGGCUAACUCCGUGCCAGCAGCCGCGGUAAUACGGAGGGUGCAAGCGUUAAUCGGAAUUACUGGGCGUAAAGCGCACGCAGGCGGUUUGUUAAGUCAGAUGUGAAAUCCCCGGGCUCAACCUGGGAACUGCAUCUGAUACUGGCAAGCUUGAGUCUCGUAGAGGGGGGUAGAAUUCCAGGUGUAGCGGUGAAAUGCGUAGAGAUCUAGAGGAAUACCGGUGGCGAAGGCGGCCCCCUGGACGAAGACUGACGCUCAGGUGCGAAAGCGUGGGGAGCAAACAGG
This 429-nucleotide ribosomal RNA is filed under the name Chloroflexota bacterium. RNAcentral describes it as "Chloroflexi bacterium partial 16S ribosomal RNA". It matches the Rfam family "Bacterial small subunit ribosomal RNA", at positions 355 to 776 of the family's 1533-position model. Lineage: Bacteria; Bacillati; Chloroflexota. The record is from RNAcentral.